CGUGAAGUGCAGGAUCGACAAGCAUUGGGGCGAACUAACUUUUCUGCAGGCCGACCUUCAUCAUGGACACCACGUGCAUCUUCUACUUCAACUGCACCAGCACCUCCAUCCGGUGCCACCUCCAACCGUGAUACAAGAAAACAGGCACAACCACCAUUAUCUGCCAAGAGCGCACCUGCGGGGCCUGCACAGCGUUCUUCUUCUUCCAUGGCAUCAACAGGGCACACAAGUGAUAUUAUUUGUCGUCGUUGUAAGGGAGGAGGUCAUUAUGCGAGAGAAUGCAAAUCUCCGCGUGUGAUGAUUGCUACCGCGGAUGGUGGAUAUGAGUCCGCUAGUGACUAUGAUGAGGAGACUUUG
Molecule: ribosomal RNA, 357 nt
Filed under: Triticum aestivum (bread wheat)
Lineage: Eukaryota; Viridiplantae; Streptophyta; Magnoliopsida; Poales; Poaceae
Description: partial small subunit ribosomal RNA
Source: RNAcentral